GAUGUAUCUUGAUUCCAAGUUAA
Molecule: small nuclear RNA, 23 nt
Filed under: Arabidopsis thaliana (thale cress)
Lineage: Eukaryota; Viridiplantae; Streptophyta; Magnoliopsida; Brassicales; Brassicaceae
Description: snRNA_14565
Source: RNAcentral